Long non-coding RNA from Meriones unguiculatus (Mongolian gerbil), 10081 nucleotides. RefSeq lists it as uncharacterized. Lineage: Eukaryota; Metazoa; Chordata; Mammalia; Rodentia; Muridae. The record is from RefSeq and is a predicted model, not a curated record. The transcript has 6 exons.
UAGACAGGAAAGCUCUUUUUAAAAAUAGCCACAGCAGAAAGAGGUUCUUGGAAUGGAAUUCUGACCUGCCUGUGAAAUACCCCAGUUUAUGAAACACACUUGCGUCAUUGCCGAGGUUAAGCUUUCGCCGUCCCCUUUAGCUUAGUUCCUGUCAGAAGUCCCUGUUUAACCCUCCUAUGCCAGGCUCACCGCCGGGAUGCAGCCAGCUUCCUCACACGAAGCAGAACCUUGGACAUGGACUGCUAGAAAAUGGACCUGAAAAGGAGAUGCCACACACGGCCUUUGUUUUUGCUGAGACUAAGGUUGACCAUCAGUAACAAAGAUGGCAGAUGGCGAAGCCCCGGGUGGAGAGAGAACUCGCUGGCUUUCCCCUGCACCUCGCUGAGAAGGAAGGCCGCCCCGGGUGCCUCACCUGUGUGGGUGUUGACGUGGUUCCGGAGGAGGGUGACGGUGCGGAAAGCCUUCAGACACAGGUGGCACAGGUCUCCAGGCUUGAACUUCUGCUCUUUGAUUUGGGUGAAGUGCUCAGAAGGGUUAGGGACCUCAGCGGCAGCCAUGGUGACGUGCCCUGACGGAAAGAGAGCGUGCAAUCUUUACAGGGUGCAGAACGGCUGACGCCUGCGGACCUUGAUCGAGCCUUUACUCAAGCAGCUCCGGGUGCCAUCGGACAGGUGGAGCCAGGGCAGACGCUCAGAGAUGGAAGGCUGGAGGCACAUGCCAGGAGGCCUGGACCUCCGUGGGACCAUAGGUCCCUUUCAGGUCUUUCCACUUGAUAAUGUUCCCAAUAGAAGCAUUCUUUGUGGGCAGGUAGGUGGUGAAGUGAAGUGGAUGGAAAAGAGAAUGGAAAUUGGGGGGUGAUGGUGUGGCAGUGCAAACCCCAAGGUCAACAGGACCUUCCCUCAGAACCCCUCACAAUCGUUGGAGUUUUUUUUUUUCUUGCAUUUCCACAGCUAGGUGUUUUGCUUUACCGCUGUAAAGGUAGGGCUCUUAACAUUUAGCACAUUUCAAAAUUGUAAUCUAGUUUGCUGGUUGUGAAUAAACACAUUUGUAUGUUGGGGUAAGUCUCAAAGGAGAGCACACAGUUUGAGGAACAGGCUUUAAAAAAAAAAAAGUGACCUACCCGGUUUUCAUAGUCUUGAUUCAAACACACUCCCUAACACACCUGGGUGUGGACCUCCCUCGUAUCUGCAGCCAAGGAGUUUUUCCACGUCUACACGGAUGCUUUCUCUCUUAACCUGUUCCCCCAGCACUUCCUCAGAGCUGUUUGUCUCUUUUGCAUAUGUUAUACACUCAAAGAUUUUUUUUUUUUAAAUUCUAAUAGUGCUCAAGACAAUUUUAUCAGAAAUUCUCAUACCAUUCAUGAGUUAGAUUCUUAGGCUUUCUCCUCACAUCUGAGAUUUGUGUGGGUGGAGUGUGUCUGUGUGUGUGGUGUGUUUGUGUGUGUUAUGAGUCUCUCGUGUGUGUGUGUGUGUGUGUGUGUGUGUGUGUGUGUGCAUGCGAGUGCUGGAACUUGAGCUGGGAAGAUAAAUAUUUGGAGAGCCUAGUGAAGAGUGCCGUAAGAACUUUUUAAAAGAAUCACUUAGAUGACUUUUUCUGCUUGAACAGUAUGCACUUGUUCGGGGUCUUCAUGGGUAAUUUUGCAGCUAGAGGAUUUUCUUAGGAUAUACAUUAUAGAUUGAUGUUGAAAUUAAAAAAAAUAAUUAAAAACUCCACUGCAACUCUCUCUCGACUAUGGCCCAGCUGAACUAUUUUUUUCAUUAUUGUUUUUCAUUAAUUAUUUAUUUUGAGUCAGGGUCUCCAAGUGGUGGGAAGAACCUGAGGCAGCCUAACCCUUUCUGUGGUUCACUCAGGAUUUUCUCUUUGUCUGCUUGUUGUUUUGAGAGAGUCGCAUGUAGACCAGGCUGGCUUAAGGUGCUAAAUCCUACUUCAGUCCCCCUGGUUCUGGGAUUAUAGGGGUGUCCUUCCACAUUCAGAAAACUUACAUUUUUGAGGCGUGGACCCCAGGUUCAUGCUAAACAAGGGCUCCACCACUGAGAUAUGCCAGAGGCUGUUGCAUUUGUUUGUUUUUUCACGGAGUUCUUGCUGUGUAGCCUAGGCUAGCCCUGAAUUUCUCUAUCUUCCUGCCUCAGUUCCCUGUGCUAGGAUUAUAAGCGUUUACCGCCUGGCCUAGCUUGCUUUCCAUUCUUCUAAAUGGCUCCAGGGGGCAGCAAAAUGGCCCAGCAGGUAAAGGGCUUGUUACCAAGCCUUCUUAUAGAAGUUUGAUCCCUGGAACCUAUAUGAGGAGAAGAGAAAAUUAUUUUUUUUUUCCUUCACCUUUGUUUUUUCUCCUUGCUUUUUUAUUGCUUAAAAAAUAUUCAUUUUAUUUUGUGUAUGCAUUUUGUCUGCAUGUAUAUAUGUGCACCUGUGUAUGUCUAGUGUCUGGGGAGACCAGAGAGGGUCUUCAGAAUCCCUGGAACUGGAAUUAGGGAUGUUUGUGAGGUGCCAUGUGGGUGCUGAAAACUGAACCUGGAUCCUCUGCAAUAUCAAAAAGUGUUCUUAGUCUAUGAGCCAUUUCUCCAUCCUGCUCUCUCUUUUGAGAUAAGGUUUCAUGUAGCCCAAGAUGGUCAUGUACCUGAGGAUGACCUUGAACUGGUGAGCCUCCUGUCUCUACUUCUUGGAUGCUGAAAUUACUGGUUUGUGCCAGUGUACUCAAGCUCAAGUGCAGAUAUAGGUAUAGAUAGAUAUAGAUAUAUGAAUGAGACAUAGGCCAGUGAGAGGAGGGAUGUGGGAAGGGAAAUGAGGUAGACCGAGAGGAGCAGAGUGGGAAUUUCAUAAAAGGAGAAAGCUGAACUGUUAGCAUACUUUUGGGGAAAAAAAAAACUUUCAUUUACAUUUAUUAUAUCUUUUUUUCUCCCUACUCCACCCCAAUGCCUUCCAACACCCCACCACCAAGUCGGAGAGAGAAAGGGUUAGUGGGAGAGGGGGCGCAAUUUUCUUUCUUAGUUGCUUCCUGCUGGUUAGGGUUGUCGGGUUCCUUGGAGCCAGUCCAGUCCUUGUUUUAGGAGAUCUAAAACCUCUUGUUUGACAACAGCAACCAGGAGCAGCAAGGGGGAAGCAGGAGCAGCCUUGCUCUUUCUACCUGUGCCACACUCUCUGGGCUCUGGCGUUUAUUCUCUCUCCAGGGUCCUCAGAUUUAAACUAUUUGCAGCUGGCAAGGAUCUCCCCUCUGAGCCUGCAAGGAGCUCCCCUUCAAGCCUGCACGAGGCAAACUGUCUGCUGCUUGGACUAUCUGAAUCAGUCCCACACCUGGGACCCAAACAAAAACAUGUUUACAUCCACAACACUGAACUGGGAAGAAGGAAGAAGGAGCUGAAGAGAGGCCCCAAAGAUGGAGGUGGGACAAGCCCUCCCUGUUCUGAUUUUGCUUGUAGUCCUGGAGACGGUAUUUGGAAGGGGGCACCUCUAAAAGCUGUGCUGGUUUUCUGCUGGUGGGCCUGAAAACUCAGGAACUUUAGCACAGUGAGGUGUGACCCCAGUUUGUACUCACACCCCCAUAAAGCCCUAGCUGUCCUGGAACUUGCUCUGUAGACCAGGCUGGCCUCAGACUCACAGAAAUCCUCCUGCCUCUGCCUCCCUUUAGACACCCCACAGCAUCUUUGUCUUAAACACUAGGUAAUAUUUACUUGUUUCUGCUGCUAAGAAUAUUAUAUAAAAGUAUGUUUAAUGUCCCUAAACAUUAUAUUUAAUUUAACACACUCAUUUUAAUAUACAUUGUAAUUAAGGUAAGAAAAAAUAUACGCAUGAUAUGCAAACACAGCUGCACAUGAUAUGCAAAUGUAUACCUGCUGGUGAAAAUUCAAGUUCGUAUUUGCAUGUGUUAUACAAAAAUAUAUUUGCAUGUGAUAGCCAUGUGUAUGCGUGUAUGGUCCCUAUCUAUGCUGUGUGGGGUGAGUAGAAAGCUCUAGGUGGGCAGGGAUCUCUGGCACCUUUACCUGACUGGCCCUGGCAGCUAUUGCUGGAGAAGACCAGCCCUAGAGAUAGUCCUCUAGCUUUUUAUGAUUCCUUCUUGCCACCUUGCUAACCCAUAUGAAGGCUGCAUAUGAUUUGCAUAUAAUCUGCAUAUCUUACAAGUUUACAGGAUGUCAUGGUGGGUAUGUUUUUAUUACCAUAUAGUGGUGAAACCUUCCAGUGCUUUUGACUUCGUCCAACAGCUGUUUGUUUGGCAUUAGUAGUGACCCUGGGGUAUGCUUUAAGGGCCUUUAUCGUUGGAAAGUGGGUACCCAGAAGGCUUUUAUGAGGGGAGCUCUGUCAUCCAGCACUUCCACCUUGGACCUGUGUGUACCAUUUCCCAAGAUGGACUUAGGCUAUGUAAAAGCUGGAAAGAGAAUUAAACACCCGAGGAGGCAGCUGUGUGGGCUGGGGCUCUUACAGAACUGCCCAGACUGUGUGUGCAGCUUUCAUCACCUGCUAGUGUCUACAGAAAGAGUUGGCACAUUGGCUGUUAUUUUGUCACAUGGGGACUGGAGAUCAAACUCCCCAAUUUUCUCCUGCAUGGUUUGUCACUUCUGUAUCUAUUUCUUGUUGCUUUGAAGCUGAAUUAGCAAUGGGUGUGAAGAUUAUUACUUAAUCUACACUUCCAUGGAAAAUUUGAUCCUUCUAAGUGUCGAAGAUAAUUUGUACCAAACCAAACAAAACAAAACCAAAUAGCUUUUGUCCAAAAUGUUCCUGAGGUCACUCUGAUUUCAGCCAAUUGCCCAGGAGUGAUUGCGUUGGCACGUGUCAGUGGCCUGUUGGGCAAGCAUUGUUUUUAAUACCUGCCAUUAUACUUUGAACUUUGACAUGGACAUGGAGGGAAUGUACUGACUUCAUGGGCAACUCAGCACUGCCUUGCACUUGGACGCUCAUGGGGACUUUGGGGACAGACAAAGCAACAGAUUCUCAAAACCAGAAAGUUCGUGAGUUGAAGAGGCGGUGCACAGGAGGAACUGUUACAUAAAAGUGUCUCUGGUUUCCAGAACUUUCCAGAACUUCACUGGUAAAGUCUCCAUGUUAUCCUGUUGACAGCUGGAGAAGAAAAGCUCUGUUAAAUUCAGCCUGAUAGACCCUGCUGAUAAGCAGCCUUGAGAGGGGUUUUCCAGCCCACACCUGAUAGAAAGUUUCAGUAUAGGGGUGCUGAAGGGGAUCAUGCCGGGAUGCUGAAGCAAUCCCCAUUUGCCUUUGACUGGUACAAAGAAAGAAUGAGGUGUGCUGUAAGGACUUUGAGGCCCCUGAAGUAAAGUAGAACCCCCCAUUCUGUUGUGGGCGGCCUCAGUGCUUCAGGAACAGCAAGUGGCAUUUCUCAAGAAGAUGGAAUUUUCCUACUCUGUUGGCAGUAACAUCCGGGUGACACGUGUGCCACUCCUGUGCCAGGUUCCAGAAUCCGAAGAGCAGGAGGAAGCUGAGUGGUGACACUUGGAAGUGCUUUAGUCAUUCAUUAAGUCGUUGCUUUUGUCGAGCGGGUGUUGUGGCAACUUUAAUGAUUAACAGUGUGCAGUGCUCUGGAGCCUGCCGGCGGGAUGCUGGGGUCUGCUGCCUUGGUUUACCCCCUGGGGAUAUGGGAUGGACAUAGUGUGCUGGGUACCUGGCCUCUACCUAGACUGACUACAGAGCUAAGUCCAGGUCCAGCACUGUGUGUGCUGUUCUCACCACCCAGCCCUCUCCAGGCCAGCACUCUGGAACGGCCUGUUGGCCUUUGUGAUUUCUAUCACCUUGAUCAGUCCUGACUUGGGGGAUCCAGGUCAUUGUCCCACUAGCUGCCCACUCCCAGCAGGGCACAAAUUUCGGGACAGGAACAGCAAGACAGCCUCUGGCAAUUUCAGUUCCAAGCGCUAGGUUGUGUUGUUAGGGGUAGAUCAGAACUCUGACCUCCUCAGGGACACUCCCCACAUAAGACUCACACUGCUGUGAAGUAGUAUAGGCUAGGAGAAGCACAGAGCUCUAGGGAUUUGCUUAUCUACCUACCUUGUGCUGAGCUUACAAGGAUGCCGCCAUACCUGGCUUUUUAAAUGUGGCUGUGAGUUUGAACUCAGGUUCUCCUGCUUGUAUGACAAGUGUUUUAUUGGCUGAGCCAUCUCCCCAGCCUCCUACAAGAAAAAUUUUAAUAAGCCCUAAGACAUCUGAUUGUGGCCAUCUUUCUCCAGUACUCAAGGACCGACAUUGGUAUGUAUGUGAGUGCACACACACACACACCCACCCACAAACACACACACACACACCAUGGGGGUUACUUCGUGGAUAAGCACCUGUCUCUUUUUAUGAAUCAACCUCUAAAACUACUUUAAGGACCCCGUAAAUUACCCUCCCAUGUCAGCUUGGCCACCUGAGAGUGCUGAAUGCAUGCCCCUGCCUCCUUCCCACCUCAGAGCCCGUAGGAGGUUGGAGAAGACACAAGGUCUAGCUCCUGUAAGCAUGGACCUUAGGAAAAGGCUUGGGUUUGGCAGGAGAACGCUGGAGGAAUGUAAGCCAGGGGAGCAUUUUAGAAAUUUCUUUGGAUAGAAGAGAUAGCUCAGUGGUGAAGAGUGUAUACUUGGGCUGGAGAGAUGACUCAGAGGUUAAGAGCACUGGCUGUUCUCCCAAAGUUCCUGAGUUCGAUUCGCAGCAACCACAUGGUGGCUCAUAACCAUCUAUAGUGAGAUCUGGUGUCCUCUUCUUGCCUGCAGAUGCAGGCAGAAUACUGUAUAAAUAAUAAUAAAUCUUUGGAAACUUUUAUAAAAAAAAAAAGAAAGAGUGUGUACUGCUUUCCCAGAAGAUUCUAGGGCCCAUGGGGAAUGACUCACAGCCACCUGUGACUCCUGCAGCAGGGACCCCACACCGUCUUUGGGACUCAGCAAGUAUCUGCGCUCACACAUGUACAUACCGACACAGACAUAUACACAUACUUAAAAAUUAAAAUAGAUCUUUAAAACUCUUUGUGAGGGGGAAACUUCGCUGCCAGCCUAGGCUGUGUCGUGAGUGCAAAGACAGCGGGCUUUCACUGCUUGACACAGCCAAGGCUGGUGGCGAAGGAAGCCGCUCUCUGCGCGUUGGAUUUGAAAAUCUGGCCCGGGAGGAGGCCGGAUGUCAACUCCUCCCAUCCUGUUGUGUUACUUUACUCUCGCUCCAAGUAUAACUCACUCAGCCCUGGCCUGCAGCUUAGGGGGUCUUGUCCCCCUCUUUCCCACUGCAACCUUCUGGCCCUUUUCCUCUCUCAGAGAUGUCACUCAUAGGUCCCUAGAACAAACCUUUCCUCAGCCCGUGGCCAAGGACACCUGAUCGCCGUGUCAUGUGUCCUUGCCUUCCCAGCCGGCACCUCUACUCUACCUGUGCUGUGUGUUCCUCCGUUCUGAGUUCCUAGCUUCCCUGAGGGUUCAGACUCAAGAGGAGAGGGCCUGGUCGUUAUCUCCCCCUCACCCCCCCCCGCCUUAAAGGCGUCUGACUGACAUUCAUCGGUGGCACACAUCCAAGAGCUGGACACAUCCAAGACACUCAAGAGUGAAGGGCACCAGGCAGCACCCAGCAACCAAGAGGCGGCUUGAAGUCGCCUAAAUGCGGCCUCCCAGCUGUUGGCUGGGGGACUCCAUGACCUUGGCUGUUCCAGAACCUCUGUGGGGCAGACAUGAAGGUAGAGGACUCUGGCCUCCAUUGCUAACGUUACUCCCACACACCUUUGAUCUGUGCUAGAACUUUCUAUCAGGCCUGCUUCCUUCUGAGGAAUAUCCUCUGGCUUCUUGCCAGCAAUCGGUCAUGAUGCUGUGGACUCAGCUGCCUGUUAGCAAUUAGCCUGGACUUUAGUUUGUUUUUGAAAGAUGAAUUUAGAAGUAAUUUUCUAAUUAACCGUGGUUGUCAAGUAAAGGGGGGACAAAGUCUCCGUCUGGGCCCAGACAAGACCACAACGUGGCUGGCUGGAGCCUCUUGAGGGACCUGAGUGAUAAAUUCAAGGAACUGGUGGAUCAGAAACCAAUUAGCUUGUGGCUUCUGCUGCUAAUGGGGGAACAGCACCGGGCGGAGUGGGCUUGCUGGAGAGUGGAGUUCCGAUGGGCGAACUGUGGCAGUUGAGCUAGCAGAACUGAUGAAGGGACACGCUUCAAGGACUCCCGUGUUCUUAGGGCCAUCACAUCGUUCAUCUGCGUUUGAUGGAACGCUUCUGAGUUUGCAUUGUUGGUGCCUGGGUUAAAGAUGUAAUAGCUACCAGCAUCUGUUCUAGAUAAUAAAGCCUUAAGGCACGGGGAUGGGAGGGGGCAUUUGUCAUGGGGCUUAUAUCUAUGGGGGGACGUUUUUCAGAAUGGUUACUCCCUGCAAAACUGCUGCACGCAAGCCUGGCGAUAUUUAUAAGGCAGCUUCUGUGUUAUUGUUUGUGUGACUCUGGGCUCUCUUUCCCUUCCCCUGUACUGAGGACUGAACCUAGGUGCUCGCAUAAGGCCGGCAAACCUGUCACCGAGCUGCUUCCUAGACCUCUUGUUUUGUUUUGGUCUGAUUUUUUGAGACAGGGUUUCUCUGUGUAGCCUGUAGGCUGUCCUGGACUAGUUUUGUAGACCAGGCUGGCCUCAAACUCACAGAGAUAUGCCUGCUUCUGCUUCCCUGAGUGCUGGGAUUACAGGAAUGCGCCACUGUGCCCAGCUUUCCCAGCCCUCUUUUAACUUUUGUUUUGAAAUAGGAGCUCACAGGCUGUGAACUCAUGAUUCCUCUUCCUCAGCUUCCAGAUAACAGCUUGGGUGACAGGCCUGUGCCACUGAGCCUGGCUGUGAUUCUGCUUCCUUAAUAGUCUCCUGUGGUCAUGGGUUAAUGUCACAGGGCAACCAAUGUCACAGAGGGCCUGGGGGAGGGGGUCAUCUUGGUGUUGACUCUUGGCUUAGAGCUUGGCUGCCAGCUCAGGGUUUCAGAUGUCUGCUUCUUUCAGAUCUCUGUGGGGAGGUAACCAGACACAGAGGGCACUGGGGCAUCCAGAAGGGACCAGUUUCUUACUUGAAAACCAAAAGCACCAUGCCUCUAAGGUAGUAAAUGCCCACCCCUUGUAGCUAUUGCUAAAGAUACAGUCUCACAAUGGCUGGGUGGUGAGGUCUAGUCUUGAAGGCUUGCCCCAACUCCAUACCUUGAGUCUGAGAGUAUCUCUUGGGACUUCAUUGUGUAUUCCUGGCUGUUCUGGAACUUGCUCUGUAAACCAGGUUGGCUUCAAACUCAGAGAUCUGUUUGCCUUGGCCUCCCAAGUUCUGAGAUUAAAGAUGUGUGCCCAGCUAAUGUUAAUGGCCUUUUGUUUGUUUGUUUGAAAUUCUCUGUGUGUGUGUGUUUUUUUGAGACAGGGUUUCUCUGUGUAGUCUUGGCUGUCCUAGAACUUGCUCUGUAGAUCAGGCUGGACUCAAGCUCACAGAGAUGCACCUGUCUCUGCCUCCCAAGUGCUGAAAUUAAAGGUCUGUGCUGCUACUCCCUGUUUGUAUCUCUUGGUACUUGUCCCCUUGAAGGACAGAAUUCAGUCAGGAGACCUACAUGGAUUAAACAGAAGUUUACAUAAUAAAACCAAACAAAACAAACACAGAGAGUUGGAGUGUGCUUCCUUAAGGCAGGUAACAACCCAGUGAGUUACUAAGCAGUUAUUAAGCAGAGAAUUAUUAAGUUGUGAAUUGCAAAGACGUUUUUGGGAAUAUUUCUGAGGUGGGUGACUCUUCUGGGGGUGUGUAGAGUAUUGAUUAUAACUAGGUAAAUCUCUUCCUGCUUCUUGUCCUUCAGUUAUCACUUUCAAGACUCAACCUACAUUCUUUUUUUAAAAUACAUUUUUUCUUAAGAUUUAUUUAUUAUGUAUACAAUGUUCUGCCUGCAUGUACACCUGCACACUAGAAGAGGAUACCAGAUCUUCUUACAGAUGGUUGGGAGCCACCAUGUGAUUGCUGGGAAUUGAACUCAGGACCUCUGGAAGAGCAGCCAGUUCUCUUAACCUCUGAGCCAUCUCUCCAGCUCCUCAACCUACAUUCUUUUAUCCACUUGUGUGACUCUUUUCUGGGAAGAUGUGAACAUUUAAAUGUCUCCUCACUCCAGAUAGAAGAUGUAGAUAAGUGAAAAUGAAAAGAAAAUUAAAAGAAUCUACCCAAGUUAA